CUUUGCAGCAUAAGUUCACCAUAUUUCACUGCUUAGUGAAUAGACUCCUGUCUGUACAAAUGACUUGUCUGUCGGGGAGGAGCUGUUAGACUGCACCUCUUUUACUGCUUUCAUUCUUCAUGACUUUUGACCCUUUGGAAUGUUAGUUGUGUCACAAGGAUUAAAGGCUGCAAGGGGAGCUCUCUCCCAGAAACGUGUAAAUUACAUAACAGCAGUUAAAGCCACUGGAUUACAUGGGGAAGAAGCUUCUGAGACGGACAACUGGAAAAGGUA
Pelobates cultripes (western spadefoot toad) is the source of this 273-nucleotide non-coding RNA. Lineage: Eukaryota; Metazoa; Chordata; Amphibia; Anura; Pelobatidae. The record is from the annotation of a GenBank genome assembly.